CAAUAGCGUAUAUUAAAGCUGUUGCGGUUAAAAAGCUCGUAGUUGGAUUUCUGUCAAGGACAACUGGUCCGCCCCUCGGGUGAGCACAUAGUUUGGUCUUGGCAUCUUGUUGGAAACUGUUGCUGCACUUGGUUGUGUGGCGCAGUGUCCAGCACUUUCACUUUGAGGAAAUUGGAGUGUUUCAAGCAGGCACAUGCCUUUGGACACAGUAGCAUGGAAUAAUUAGAUUGGGCUUUUGCUCCAACUUGUCGGUUUCUGGAGCUGAGGUGAGAAUUAAUGGGGAUUGUUGGGGGCAUCCGAAUUUAGCCGUCAGAGGUGAAAUUCUUGGGUCUGCUAAAGACGGACAACUGCGAAAGCGUUUGCCCAGGAUGUUUUCAUUGA
RNAcentral lists this ribosomal RNA (381 nucleotides) under uncultured eukaryote. RNAcentral describes it as "partial 18S ribosomal RNA". It matches the Rfam family "Eukaryotic small subunit ribosomal RNA", at positions 592 to 976 of the family's 1831-position model. The record is from RNAcentral.